This 482-nucleotide ribosomal RNA is filed under the name uncultured bacterium. Its description in RNAcentral is "partial 16S ribosomal RNA". It matches the Rfam family "Bacterial small subunit ribosomal RNA", at positions 30 to 505 of the family's 1533-position model. The record is from RNAcentral.
AUUGAACGCUGGCGGCAGGCCUAACACAUGCAAGUCGAGCGGAUGAAGGGAGCUUGCUCCUGGAUUCAGCGGCGGACGGGUGAGUAAUGCCUAGGAAUCUGCCUGGUAGUGGGGGAUAACGUCCGGAAACGGGCGCUAAUACCGCAUACGUCCUGAGGGAGAAAGUGGGGGAUCUUCGGACCUCACGCUAUCAGAUGAGCCUAGGUCGGAUUAGCUAGUUGGUGGGGUAAAGGCCUACCAAGGCGACGAUCCGUAACUGGUCUGAGAGGAUGAUCAGUCACACUGGAACUGAGACACGGUCCAGACUCCUACGGGAGGCAGCAGUGGGGAAUUUUGGACAAUGGGCGAAAGCCUGAUCCAGCCAUGCCGCGUGUGUGAAGAAGGUCUUCGGAUUGUAAAGCACUUUAAGUUGGGAGGAAGGGCAGUAAGUUAAUACCUUGCUGUUUUGACGUUACCAACAGAAUAAGCACCGGCUAACUUCG